GCCAGGGUGGCCGAGCUAGGUUUAAGGUGCCUAAUUGAAGGCUAGGUAAGCGUUACGAACGCUUCGCGAGUUCGAAUCUCGUCCCUGGCG
This 90-nucleotide transfer RNA is filed under the name Candidatus Woesearchaeota archaeon. Its description in RNAcentral is "tRNA-Phe". It matches the Rfam family "tRNA". Rfam says of the family: Transfer RNA (tRNA) molecules are approximately 80 nucleotides in length. Their secondary structure includes four short double-helical elements and three loops (D, anti-codon, and T loops). Lineage: Archaea; Nanobdellati; Candidatus Woesearchaeota. The record is from RNAcentral.